CUUUCUGUUUAAGAUCAGUGUGGAAAUGGAUGUGGACGCGGUGCUGCUGCCUGAGAUUAGCAGGAAGCAAUUCUUUUCCCAUUUGGAGAGACCCCGGUGAGACCUGAUCAACUAGCAACAUGCGGAAGUCACACCAUUAAGUCUUCCAAUUUGCUAGCAGCAAAUCAAUGAACUCUGAUAGCUGCUGCCCUAAGCUAGCAUCCAGGGAACUGUGGACAAGCUAUUUGAUACCUGAAUUUUAGUGAAGGAAAGUUAAAUUUUUUCUUAAAGCAGGGUGGGAGUGGGGUUGUGUGGGGAAGAUUAUAUUAAGCAGUGAGAGAAGACAGAUGGAGUUUUGUAGAAAGAGAGCUGGUUGUUUUAAAUUGUAUCUUAAAUUUAUUGUAGAGCUAUUGGUAAUUAGUGUUUUGUUGUUGUGUGUUUAUACCAACCAAUUAAUAAGAAAGGCUUUUAUUUUUAUUUCAUCAGUUGGAGCUGAACUUUAUUUUUUAUUAUAAAUAUAAGGCAUUAUUCUAGGGCCUGGCAAACAUAGGCAGCCACUUUUUUUUUCUGGGGAAGAUUAUACCUUGGUAUGUUUUCACCACUGUGAGAUGAAAAUUUGAGAACAGUGAGAGACAGAUGCUUGCCUGAGGAGUUUUAUUUUCCCUUUAAUCCUUAUCAAAUAUCCAGAUAUUACCUAUAUUGCCUUGAUCUGCUGUCUGAAGGUGGGUUUCUUUGAUUGUUUGAAGAGUUCUGGGCACUAGAGGUGCUUACUUUGUGACGGGAGCAAAUAACAAGGUGUUGCCCAUGACAUGGUCAAGCCUCUUCUUCAAUUAGCCACCUAUCUUGGGCAUGUUUUCAUAGAGAUAUAUCUCAUCCCUUUUAAUAACUGCAGAAUCUUGGACAUUUAGAGGUCUCCAAAUAUUGGUUGUCAUUUAUGGUGUAUCGUGUUUUUGUUAUUAUAAUAACGUUGCAAUAAAUACCCUAGCAACCUAUUUUUGCUUACAAGUAGAGUAUUUUCGAAGAACAAAUUCCUUCAUGUGAAACUGACGGGUCAAAAUAUAAAAGGAUUAAAGUUUCAAUAGUUAGUUAAUUGCCUUACAAUGGAAUUACAACAAUUUAUACUUCCACCAGUAAUUCAUGAACUCUGCCUUACCACAUAAUAUUUCUAAUCUUUCCCAAUCUGAUAUGGAGAAACAUGUUUUAUUAUUCUAUUUUUUUUUCACUAAAAGAGAGACUUUGAACACCCCUCCAUAUGUUUCAAAAACACUUGUAGACCAGGUGUGGUGGCUCACUCCUGUAAUUCCAGCACUUUGGGAAGUGAGAAGAUUGCUUGAGCCCAGGAGUUCGAGACCAACUUAGGCAACAAAUCUAGACAAGGGAGACCUUGUCUCUACGAAAAAAUGAAAACAUUAACUGGGCAUGGUGGUGUGUGCUGUGGUGCUA
This 1422-nucleotide long non-coding RNA is filed under the name Homo sapiens (human). Its description in RNAcentral is "non-protein coding IGFBP7-AS1:21". The record is from RNAcentral. Lineage: Eukaryota; Metazoa; Chordata; Mammalia; Primates; Hominidae.